RNAcentral lists this long non-coding RNA (225 nucleotides) under Mytilus galloprovincialis (Mediterranean mussel). The record is from RNAcentral. Lineage: Eukaryota; Metazoa; Mollusca; Bivalvia; Mytilida; Mytilidae.
GUGGUAUUACAUCUAUAAGUUCAAACUCUUAGAAGUUCGGGGCAUAUAAAUAAUGAAAAAAAAUGUUUUGAAUAAAAUAGUAGUGCAUAUACACUUCCCAUUCUAUUAUAUAGUUUUUUCACUAGACUUCAUAGUAAAAGUGGCACCGCUUUAGCCGCAAAUAGAGCUCACAUGGGGAUUUGAAUUGUCUAUAUUCACAGAAGUGCGACCUGUAUACUGUCAAAG